UGCCACACACUAAUCCAUUUUCUGGGUC
RNAcentral lists this non-coding RNA (28 nucleotides) under Mus musculus (house mouse). Lineage: Eukaryota; Metazoa; Chordata; Mammalia; Rodentia; Muridae. The record is from RNAcentral.